GCCAACGGCCGUACUACGUUGAAUACACCGGUUUUCGUCCGAUCACUGAAGCUCAGCAACGUCGGGUGUACUUGGACGGAUGACCGUUUGGGGACAUUACGCACCGUUGGAA
Molecule: non-coding RNA, 112 nt
Organism: Cinara cedri
Lineage: Eukaryota; Metazoa; Arthropoda; Insecta; Hemiptera; Aphididae
Source: the annotation of a GenBank genome assembly